AUUGAACGCUGGCGGCAUGCCUUACACAUGCAAGUCGAACGGCAGCACGGGAGCAAUCCUGGUGGCGAGUGGCGAACGGGUGAGUAAAGUAUCGGAACGUGCCCAGUCGUGGGGGAUAACGUAGCGAAAGUUACGCUAAUACCGCAUAUUCUCUGAGGAGGAAAGCAGGGGACCUUCGGGCCUUGCGCUAAUAGAGCGGCUGAUAUCAGAUUAGCUAGUUGGUGAGGUAAAGGCUCACCAAGGCGACGAUCUGUAGCGGGUCUGAGAGGAUGAUCCGCCACAAUGGAACUGAGACACGGUCCAGACUCCUACGGGAGGCAGCAGUGGGGAAUUUUGGACAAUGGGGGCAACCCUGAUCCAGCCAUGCCGCGUGAGUGAAGAAGGCCUUCGGGUUGUAAAGCUCUUUCGGCCGGGAAAAAAUCGCAUGGGUUAAUACCCUGUGUGGAUGAUGGUACCGGAAUAAGAAGCACCGGCUAACUACGUGCCAGCCGCCGCAGUAA
This 500-nucleotide ribosomal RNA is filed under the name uncultured bacterium. RNAcentral's name for it is "partial 16S ribosomal RNA". It matches the Rfam family "Bacterial small subunit ribosomal RNA", at positions 30 to 523 of the family's 1533-position model. The record is from RNAcentral.